GACGAACGCUGGCGGUGUGCUUAACACAUGCAAGUCGAACGGAAAGGCCCUGCUUUUGUGGGGUGCUCGAGUGGCGAACGGGUGAGUAACACGUGAGUAACCUGCCCUUGACUUUGGGAUAACUUCAGGAAACUGGGGCUAAUACCGGAUAGGAGCUCCUGCUGCAUGGUGGGGGUUGGAAAGUUUCGGCGGUUGGGGAUGGACUCGCGGCUUAUCAGCUUGUUGGUGGGGUAGUGGCUUACCAAGGCUUUGACGGGUAGCCGGCCUGAGAGGGUGACCGGCCACAUUGGGACUGGGAUACGGCCCAGACUCCUACGGGAGGCAGCAGUGGGGAAUAUUGCACAAUGGGCGGAAGCCUGAUGCAGCAACGCCGCGUGCGGGAUGACGGCCUUCGGGUUGUAAACCGCUUUCGCCUGUGACGAAGCGUGAGUGACGGUAAUGGGUAAAGAAGCACCGGCUAACUACGUG
RNAcentral lists this ribosomal RNA (468 nucleotides) under uncultured bacterium. Its description in RNAcentral is "partial 16S ribosomal RNA". It matches the Rfam family "Bacterial small subunit ribosomal RNA", at positions 28 to 507 of the family's 1533-position model. The record is from RNAcentral.